RNAcentral lists this long non-coding RNA (653 nucleotides) under Brassica napus (rape). RNAcentral describes it as "long non-coding RNA (BNAP_LNC022616)". The record is from RNAcentral. Lineage: Eukaryota; Viridiplantae; Streptophyta; Magnoliopsida; Brassicales; Brassicaceae.
UCUUGACUCAACUCUCUGUGACCAAGAAAAUUUAAUGGAACUUUCAUCAUAUGUUGUUGUAUUAGCCUCAACCGCCUCACCAUCCUCACCAAACAGUUUGCUUCUUGUUGCUUUAGAGAUUCACCUAGUCUCUCCGGAAAUCCUCAUCGAUGUUAGAGCUGAUCUUACUCGUCUAUUGAACUGUUUAGCCAAAUCAAGAUCCUCUUCGGACAAUUAUGCCCUCUUCUAAACCUCAUCGUUUGGAUAUAUCAGCGUCAUUUUCGACUAUGACAAGCUCUUUAGAGCUUCCGCUGCAACAAUACAAAUGAGGACAAUCUUUGGGUUUCUUUGCUUUGAGCAAACUUCUCAUGUUAACAUCUAUAUUUUAGGAUUUAUUAUUUUCUUUUGUUCACCGUACCGUCGAAUAUUUUGGUUAUAGUCGUUUUACCGUUGAACAUCGGUUGUAACCUCUUAACCUUUGGAUCUCUUUUUUUUUUUUUUUUGACAUCAAACCUUUGGAUCUCUUUAUAAUAUAAAUCGUGUUACAAAAAAAAGCAUAUGACAUUCUGCUUUAAAUGCGAAUGUUGUGAUAUUAUAUUAAAAAUCUAGAUUCUCCAGUUUUGUAUUCAAACAUAGAUUAUCCGGAAAUGUCUUUUCAUCUUCUCGUAAACCCU